GAACAAGACUGCUAACUAUGAGUACCUAAAGUCCCAAGUUUGGUCUUAAGUCUCAACUUUAGGGCUGAAGUCCAAAAGUGACUGCUUCCACCUGCAUAAAUAAGAGGAUCUGAUUAGUCUUGCAAUAAGGACACACGCACGCUGUCAUGGAAGAAAGAAGGAAAGAUGGCUGGAACAGAGAUCUUCAUUUUCUUCACUGUUCCAACUCAGAAAUUCACAUCCCAAGCUCUGGAAAAUCCCCUCCGCAGGUGACCGGCGAACAUGGACUACAAGGCAGUUGGCUGCCCGGUGACUGCUGACCCUCUCCCCAGGGGGAGCAGGGCCCCUCAGCUCCCCUGACUGCAGCCGUGGAGGCUGGGGCAGGUGAGCUUGCACCAGGUGGGUCCCAGGCCCCGGGCU
Molecule: long non-coding RNA, 399 nt
Filed under: Crocodylus porosus (Australian saltwater crocodile)
Lineage: Eukaryota; Metazoa; Chordata; Crocodylia; Crocodylidae
Description: lncRNA (ENSCPRG00005006039.1)
Source: RNAcentral